Molecule: non-coding RNA, 74 nt
Organism: Podarcis lilfordi (Lilford's wall lizard)
Lineage: Eukaryota; Metazoa; Chordata; Lepidosauria; Squamata; Lacertidae
Source: the annotation of a GenBank genome assembly
GGAGGGCCAUGGUUCAGUGGUAGAAUACAGGCUUUGCAUGCAAAAGUUCCUAGGUUCAAUCCCCAGCAUCUCCC